Armigeres subalbatus is the source of this 1033-nucleotide long non-coding RNA. RefSeq lists it as uncharacterized. Lineage: Eukaryota; Metazoa; Arthropoda; Insecta; Diptera; Culicidae. The record is from RefSeq and is a predicted model, not a curated record. The transcript has 5 exons.
UCGAGCUGAGCACCAUUACAACCAAGAUCGAUUGCGUGUGAGUAGAAGCGUAUGAAGAGCGAGGAAAUCAGUUCGCUGUAGGCCUCGCAAGGAAAGGUACGCUCGUGCGUCCCUGUAUCGCCAGAAAGCGAUUGUGCAAUAAAUUCAGCGGAGCAAAUAACAAGAAUUGCAGCUGCACAAAGUCACAAUCGAGUCGUGUAAAAGUGCCGGGUGUCUCGGUAGACGGUACCGUGACAACGAUCGUGCGGCCAAGCUAAGACGUCUGGUUGAGCAGGGAACACUACGAUUGGAGCGUGGCUUAAAGCGAACGGCAAAGAAGGUCAUAAAUUGUUACGCAAAAUAGUCUGAACGUUGGACACGGGGCCCACAGGCCAUUCAGCCCGUCGUCGGAGAAAGCACCCACACACGAGGCUUUGGCAAUAGUCUCCAUUUUAAAAGCCAGGAGACGGUUCAGCUAGGUCACCGACACUGAGUGAGAACGACAUUCGCGCCGGAAGGUCCCAAACAGCACUCGUGGUGACGAUUAGUGGUGUAGCCGGUACACGACGGCGAGACUCAAGGGCGCGUACGGAAUCAAGAACGGUAUACCCUACGGAACAAGCCAGUUGGAAUUACUGCACCGUCAGCAAGGAAAAGGAGCCCCUCUCAAGGGGCUUUAUUUGCAGAUUUCGGAUUCGUGCUUCGGGUCGGAGGCAAGGCCUAGGUACGGACAACGACGAAGCGACGGCGACCGGACGCACAUCUGGUUCCACACCGGAACCGUGUAGCUAUCAGCGAGUGAACAUUAGGCGAGUGGCUCAAAUCGACAGCAGCAUAACGGGUUUGGCUGGCUGUGUGAGCUCACGGCUUCUCGUCGUCUGCUUGGACGUGAACGCAUCGGUGGCUGAGAAGAGAACAUGCAGCCCAUUCAUGCGACAUUGGACCGGCGACAAUCGUGAGUCUGUGCGAAUAGAUUAAGCUAAAAUCGAAGAGAGUAGGAGAUGUAGGGAUGCAGAGUAGGAAACGAUGGAAGGGUUUCCCAAUAUAAUGUGUU